AGCCUUGUACAGAAAUGUCCACAGGAGAAUUACCCAUAGCCAAAAAAUGGAAACAGCCCAAAUGCCCAUCAACCGAUAAAUGCACAAAUGAAAAUGUGGUAUAAGGGAAUAUUGUUCAGUAAUAAGAAGGUACAAAGUUCUGGUACAUGCUACAGCAUGGAGGAGCCUUGGAAAUACUCUAAGGAAUGAAAAAAGCCAGUCACAAAAGACCACACGGAUGAUCACAUUUCUAUGAAAUACCCAGAACGGAUGCAUCUACGGAGACAGAAAGUGGACUGGCAGUUGCCAGGGGCAGCGGUGAGGGUGGGCCGGGGGUCGGGGGAACAUGGAGUGAUGGCUCAUGGCUCCACGUUUCUUUAAGGGGUGAUGAAACGUUCUAAAAUUAGACCAUGGUGAUGGUUGUACAACUCUGUAAAUACACUGAAAACCAUUCAAUUGUAUACUUUAAAUAAUUAGGUGAACUUAUAUAAAUUACAUCUCAGAGUCUCUACAUGUGUGUAUAUUUAAAAAACACUUAUUUGCUUAGAAACACAUAUACAAUUUUGCUAUGCUAUAGAAAACUACUGUAAGUCUUCUUACCAGCCCAGCACACCUCUAGCUAUGAGAGCAGAUCUGAGAGAAUACGAGAGAAUGAGAAAGGUAGGGUGGUAUGGGGCACAAGAGCAGAGAGGAAGCUGCAGCUUAAAAGGUCUGAAUAUCUACUGCAAAUUUAUAGAAAUAAUUCAGCAUGCAACUUGAACUGCUGUAAUCAGCACUGAUUCUAAACAUAUUUUACACACAGUUAAAACCGUGGCUGACCACAGGAAGCAUGGCUGAUGUUCUUGGCUCCUGUGCUUUAAGGUGAGGGGUGUUUCUCAAUGUUUUAGGGAACUACACAAGCUGAGCCCCCAAAAGGAAAUUAAGAAUUGAGGAGGGGAUGCUAUAUUAGUCCGUUUUCACGCUGCUGAUAAAGACAUGCCCUUGACUGGGCAAUUUACAAAAGAAAGAGGUUUAAUUGGACUGACAGUUCCAUGUGGCUGGGGAAGCCUCAUGAUCAUGGUGGAAGGCAUGAAGGAGCAAAUCACAUCUUACAUGGAUGGCAGCAAAGAGAGGAGAGCUUGUGCAGGGAAACUCCCCUUUUUAUAACCAUCAGAUCUCAUGAGACUUAUUCACUAUCAUGAGAACAGCAAGGGAAAGACUUGCCCCCAUGAAUGAAUUACCUCCCACCAGGUUUCUCCCACAACACAUGGGAAUUCAAGAUGAGAUCUGGGUGGGGACACGGCCAAACUAUAUCAGACACAGUGGAGGAAAAAUAGGACUGAGAUGGCAUUUUUAAAAACUUCCUCCAUCAGAGAAUUUUAGGUUCACUUCUUAAGGGAAAGAGUGGCAGGUGGCAAAAUAGAAGCCAAAAACAUACAGUCAUCAUCAGGGAUUCCAGAGAAAGAGAGCUUCUAACUUGAUUUGGGUUCCUUACUUCCCAUAUGCAGCUUUUUAAAAAAGCAAAAUUAGGCUAUUUUAGGUAUCUCCAUAUAUCAGCCUAAUUUUUUACAUAAACAUGAUCUAAAUUGAAAAGUUCUUUUUCUUUUUUUGGAGAUAAAGUCUUGCGCUGUCACCCAGGCUGGAGUGCAGUGGCUUAAUCUCAGCUCACUGCAACCUCUGCCUCCCGGGUUCAAGUGAUUCUUGUGCCUCAGCCUCCCAAGUAGCUGGGAUUACAGGCAUGCGCCACGUGUGGCUAAUUUUUGUAUUCUCAGUAGAGAUGGGGGUUUCACUAUGUUCGCCAGGCUAGUCUGGAACUCCUGACCUCAGGAGAUCCACCAACCUUGGCCUCCCAAAGUGGUGGGAUUACAGGUGUGAGCCACUGCACAAUGUAAUUUAUUAGCUUAUCAUUUGUGUUUCAAUUGCAAACCUUAAUUAAGUAUUCUUUUUUUUUGAGACAGAGUCGUGCUCUGUUACCCAGGCUACAGUGCAAUGGCACAAUCUCAGCUCACUGCAACCUCCACCUCCUGAGUUCAAGCGAUUCUCCUGCCUCAGACUCCCAAGUAGCUGGGAUU
Molecule: long non-coding RNA, 2030 nt
Filed under: Homo sapiens (human)
Lineage: Eukaryota; Metazoa; Chordata; Mammalia; Primates; Hominidae
Description: non-protein coding lnc-MBP-5:1
Source: RNAcentral